Molecule: small RNA, 64 nt
Filed under: Arabidopsis thaliana (thale cress)
Lineage: Eukaryota; Viridiplantae; Streptophyta; Magnoliopsida; Brassicales; Brassicaceae
Description: ATSL283130
Source: RNAcentral
AAAAACGGGUUUGACUGCAUUUGGUUACGAAAUACUUUUAAUAGAUCCGGAAGAUAUGUUUAAU